UAAACACAUGAGACUCUGGAGGACAUUUCGCUUAUAAUUCCUAGCUAAAACAAAAUCAGAAAUGGAGCUAUAUGGUUGAGGAACUUGCCAAACUGAUACACAACCAGAUGAAUGGUCUUAGGGGAGCUGAGAACAGUUUGGGUGUUCUUAACGUCAUGCGAUGAGGUCUACAAAGGCCCAGAUGACAUGGAAUUGAAGAUGCUUAAGCACAGAAUACUACAUAAAUGUCAAGUUUAAGGAGAGAAUGGAGAGCAGGGAAAACUUAGACCAAACAAAGUCAUUUGAGCUGAAGACUAAGCCAAGGUGGCAGCUGACUACCAGGUAUGUGACACUGGAUGACGUGAGGAUCGAUUGGAAGCACAAGAAACAUGAGAGUCAGCUUGUUUUACAGUCAUCUGGACUUGAUUUUCAGAGAACCUGAAGAUCAAAAUUCAGCAGCACGGCUUGCGGCUGACUCAAGACUUUACAGAGG
This 472-nucleotide long non-coding RNA is filed under the name Mus spicilegus (steppe mouse). RNAcentral's name for it is "lncRNA (ENSMSIG00000016317.1)". Lineage: Eukaryota; Metazoa; Chordata; Mammalia; Rodentia; Muridae. The record is from RNAcentral.